AAUAGCUUAUAAAGAUUUUUGAUAAAAAUUUUUGGCUACGGCGGCUAUUA
RNAcentral lists this transfer RNA (50 nucleotides) under Phyllocoptes taishanensis. RNAcentral describes it as "tRNA-Ile". Lineage: Eukaryota; Metazoa; Arthropoda; Arachnida; Trombidiformes; Eriophyidae. The record is from RNAcentral.